This 298-nucleotide ribosomal RNA is filed under the name uncultured bacterium. RNAcentral's name for it is "partial 16S ribosomal RNA". It matches the Rfam family "Bacterial small subunit ribosomal RNA", at positions 471 to 776 of the family's 1533-position model. The record is from RNAcentral.
CUAUGCGCCUUGCCAGCCCGCUCAGGUGUGCCAGCAGCCGCGGUAAUACGUAGGGAGCAAGCGUUGUCCGAAAUUACUGGGCGUAAAGGGCGCGUAGGUGGGUGCUUAAGUCAGGUGUGAAAACUCCGGGCUCAACCUGGAGACUGCACUUGAAACUGGGUGUCUUGAGGGCAGGAGAGGAAAGUGGAAUUCCUAGUGUAGCGGUGAAAUGCGUAGAUAUUAGGAGGAACACCAGUGGCGAAGGCGACUUUCUGGACUGUACCUGACGCUGAGGCGCGAAAGCGUGGUAGCGAACGGG